This 774-nucleotide ribosomal RNA is filed under the name uncultured Neocallimastigales. RNAcentral describes it as "partial large subunit ribosomal RNA". It matches the Rfam family "Eukaryotic large subunit ribosomal RNA", at positions 20 to 616 of the family's 3401-position model. The record is from RNAcentral. Lineage: Eukaryota; Fungi; Neocallimastigomycota; Neocallimastigomycetes; Neocallimastigales.
UCUAGAGUAGCACUCGCAUAUCAAUAAGCGGAGGAAAAGCAACUAACAAGGAUUCCCCUAGUAACGGCGAGUGAAGCGGGAAGAGCUCAAAUUUGAAAUCUUAAAGGGUUUCCCUUUACGAAUUGUAGUUUAAAGAAGUGUUUUCUGUUGAGGUUUUGGUAAAAGUUCUUUGGAAUAGGACAUCAUAGAGGGUGAGAAUCCCGUAUUUGACCUUUACUUUCAACUUUGUGAUACACUUUCAAAGAGUCGGAUUGUUUGGGAAUGCAGUCCAAAAUGGGUGGUAAAUUUCAUCUAAAGCUAAAUAUUGGCGAGAGACCGAUAGCGAACAAGUACCGUGAGGGAAAGAUGAAAAGAACUUUGAAAAGAGAGUUAAACAGUACGUGAAAUUGUCAAAAGGGAAGCGUUUGACACCAGUGUUGUUUUUCUGAAAAUCAAUUAAAGAACUGUUUAUGCUAAGCUUGUUUAGACUUUAUCAGCUAUCUGUUUAGUUUUGAGCUUUUCUUUAAUGCACUUUUCAGUUAACAAGUCAACAUCAAUUUCUUUUGCUGUAAAAAAGCUUGAGGAAGGUGGCUUGAGAUUCGUCUUAAGUGUUUAUAGCCUCUUGCCUAUGCAGUCGGAGAGAUUGAGGUCUGCAGCGUAGAUCCUUCGGGGCUAAAUGCAUUUGUGCUAAGUUAUAGCAUUUUAUAGACAACUUGUUGACUAUGAUUUGUCUUGUAGCUUACUCGCUUAUGUUAUUUUACCUACGCUUAGGAUGUUGAGCGCAUGUCUCUCUCU